GGGAGCCUGAGAAACGGCUACCACAUCCAAGGAUGGCAGCAGGCGCGCAAAUUACCCAAUCCCGACACGGGGAGGUAGUGACAAUAAAUAACAAUACGGGGUUCUUUAGGAUCUCGUAAUUGGAAUGAGUACAAUUUAAAUCUCUUGACGAGGAACAAUUGGAGGGCAAGUCUGGUGCCAGCAGCCGCGGUAAUUCCAGCUCCAAUAGCGUAUAUUAAAGUUGUUGCAGUUAAAAAGCUCGUAGUUGAAUUUCGGGGUUAGUAGGUUGGUCAUGCCUCUGGUAUGUACUGGUCUCACUGAUUCCUCCUUCCUUAUGAACCGUAAUGUCAUUAAUUUGGUGUUGCGGGGAAUUUGGACUGUUACUUUGAAAAAAUUAGAGUGUUUAAAGCAAGCUAACGCUUGAAUACAUUAGCAUGGAAUAAUGAAAUAGGACGUUCGAUCUUAUUUUGUUGGUUUCUAGGAUUGACGUAAUGAUUAAUAGGGAUAGUUGGGGGCAUUAGUAUUCAAUUGUCAGAGGUGAAAUUCUUGGAUUUAUUGAAGACUAACUACUGCGAAAGCAUUUGCCAAGGAUGUUUUCAUUAAUCAAGAACGAAAGUUAGGGGAUCGAAGACGAUCAGAUACCGUCGUAGUCUUAACCAUAAACUAUGCCGACUAGGGAUCGGAUGAUGUUAAUUUUUUAAUGACUCAUUCGGCGCCUUACGGGAA
This 705-nucleotide ribosomal RNA is filed under the name uncultured fungus. RNAcentral describes it as "SSU rRNA". It matches the Rfam family "Eukaryotic small subunit ribosomal RNA", at positions 390 to 1096 of the family's 1831-position model. The record is from RNAcentral. Lineage: Eukaryota; Fungi.